Molecule: ribosomal RNA, 301 nt
Filed under: uncultured bacterium
Lineage: Bacteria
Description: partial 16S ribosomal RNA
Rfam family: Bacterial small subunit ribosomal RNA
Source: RNAcentral
CAGCCGCCGCGGUAAUACGAAGGGGGCUAGCGUUGUUCGGAAUUACUGGGCGUAAAGGGCGCGUAGGCGGCCAUUCAAGUUAGAUGUGAAAGCCCUGGGCUCAACCUAGGAAUUGCAUUUGAUACUGUUUGGCUUGAGUUCGGGAGAGGUGAGUGGAAUUCCCAGUGUAGAGGUGAAAUUCGUAGAUAUUGGGAAGAGCACCAGUGGCGAAGGCGGCUCACUGGACCGACACUGACGCUGAGGCGCGAAAGCGUGGGGAGCAAACAGGAUUAGAUACCCGAGUAGUCCCUGUCUCCUUAUA